This is an RNA transcript of Eucalyptus grandis, 1092 nucleotides long. RefSeq lists it as uncharacterized. The transcript has 5 exons. The record is from RefSeq and is a predicted model, not a curated record. Lineage: Eukaryota; Viridiplantae; Streptophyta; Magnoliopsida; Myrtales; Myrtaceae.
UGUCCAUAACGCUGGCCCGCUCGGUCGCGAGGGAGAUCUCGGACGGCGCGGAGAAGAAGGAGAGGCGCGGGCUGGAGAAGGAUUCUCGCCGGCCUCCGCCGCGAAGCCAUCGACCUCCGGCAGGAGGGAGGCGGCCUCGGUCUCAUUCUCGAGCGGCACCAAGCUCCCCGCCGCUGACCGGGCGUUGUCCCUGACGCUGGGCUGAUCGGUCGCGAGGGAGAUCUCGGCGGACCUGGGCGGGGUCGACGGCGCGGAGAAGAAGGAGAGGCACGGGCUGGAGAGUUUCCCGCUUGCUGUGAACCUGGGCGGGGUCCGUGCGUUUCUCUCUCGACCGCUGGAUUUAGUCUUUGGAGAUUUACUAAAAGAAAGAGGCAGGUUGCUUUCAACAUCCUCACCCCUGGAGGAUUUGUUCACUCGAGGAUCCAAGCUCCCUCCUCAUACUAUUCAUAUUCGACCGUUGAUGAUCAAGGUUGAAAAGGACCCGAAGCUUUUAGAUAUCAGGACCGUUGAUGCACUCGAAAUAGUACAAACAAGUAAUAAACCAAAGCUUGCAUAUCUUUCAAAGAUUUUGAUUGCACUUUUAAGCUAUGGCGGGUCCCUAAUGAAUUUCUUUUGGACAUGGUGGAGAAUGCUUUGGGAGAUGCAAAUAGUGUCUUCUCUAGUAAACGAGCAGCUCUAAGAGUUUUGGUGAAUCAUGGUGAGAAGGAUGGUUUCACUGCGGCCAGAAUGAUCUUAUCUGGGAUUCCUCUGGACGAAACAUACCUACAAAAUCGUCUGUCCAUCCUGAUGAAUGAUGAAAGGAAGAGUUUGAAAGGAGGAAGGAUUCCUAUUCCAGAUUCUUACUAUCUAAUAGGGACAGCCGAUCCCACAGGAAUUCUCGACAGACAGAAUGUGAGCUUGGACAUGAGGAGAUUCCACAAGCGGCUGCUUCAAGCCUAUGACUAUUCCUUCAAGAAAAUAAACGGGCAAAUUAGCUACAAUCAAACAACUGACUUGUUUAAGCUUUGCUAACUACUUUCUUCUCUUCACCUUCCUUAAAUAAUUGUCGAUAUUUCUUUCCAUUGACUGAAUGGUUGAAACUUGAAUAAAGUA